RNAcentral lists this microRNA precursor (96 nucleotides) under Nicotiana sylvestris (wood tobacco). Its description in RNAcentral is "MIR6152 microRNA precursor family". It matches the Rfam family "MIR6152 microRNA precursor family". The record is from Rfam by way of RNAcentral. RNAcentral also lists the same sequence under 1 other name. Lineage: Eukaryota; Viridiplantae; Streptophyta; Magnoliopsida; Solanales; Solanaceae.
UGGACAGAUUAUUGUAUUCAGAUGUAUUCACAGCGUGAAAUAGGGGAUUACAUUGUUUUUAAACGGAAAGUGAAUCAAUUAACAUAAUAGACUCCU